CCUAUGGGGGGCAGCAGGCGCGAAACCUCCUCAAUGCACUCACGUGCGAAGGGGUUACCUCGAGUGCCAUCUGAAGAAGGUGGCUUUUCCUUGGUCUAAAUAGCCUAGGGAAUAAGAGGGGGGCAAGACUGGUGUCAGCCGCCGCGGUAACACCAGCCCCUCGAGUGGUGGGGAUGAUUAUUUGGCCUAAAGCGUCCGUAGCCGGCCGGGUAAGUUUCCCGUUAAAUCCAGCGUCUCAAGCGUUGGACUGCGGGAAAUACUGCCCGGCUAGAGAGUGGGAGAGGUAAGCGGUAUUCUGGGGGUAGGGGCGAAAUCCUUUGAUCCCCGGAGGACCACCAGUGGCGAAGGCUGCUUACUAGAACACGUCUGACGGUCAGGGACGAAAGCUGGGGUAGCGAACCGGAUUAGAUACCCCAGUAGUCC
RNAcentral lists this ribosomal RNA (423 nucleotides) under uncultured archaeon. Its description in RNAcentral is "bacterial SSU rRNA". It matches the Rfam family "Archaeal small subunit ribosomal RNA", at positions 322 to 747 of the family's 1478-position model. The record is from RNAcentral.